This is a long non-coding RNA of Neofelis nebulosa (Clouded leopard), 321 nucleotides long. RefSeq lists it as uncharacterized. The transcript is spliced from 3 exons. The record is from RefSeq and is a predicted model, not a curated record. NCBI's taxonomy places the organism in Eukaryota, Metazoa, Chordata, Mammalia, Carnivora, Felidae.
AAGAAAAGAAAAGAAAAAGAAAAAAGAAAAAGAAUUGGACCAGCAAACAGCUGAAGUACGAUUGAAAUUACAUUGGUUCCCCUUCAAACUGUGAAGCACUUUAUAGUCCAUAAACUAAGCAUGCAGAGACUUCCUGAAGAUCGAGAUGCUCAUUGGGUUGACUUGGCAUGACUCUGGUGGGAUGUAGAUGAAGUCUUCAUUCAGAAGGUUAAAACAGUGUCUUCGAUGGGAAGUUUGAAUUAUGUAACAAACAAUGUCAGGUUUUCAGAAUCUUCUGCAUAAACCUGCUGCUGUGACCCUGAGAAGAAAGGGACACUCAAA